Molecule: ribosomal RNA, 429 nt
Filed under: Bacteroidota bacterium
Lineage: Bacteria; Pseudomonadati; Bacteroidota
Description: Bacteroidetes bacterium partial 16S ribosomal RNA
Rfam family: Bacterial small subunit ribosomal RNA
Source: RNAcentral
UAGGGAAUCUUCGGCAAUGGGGGGAACCCUGACCGAGCAACACCGCGUGAGUGAAGAAGGUUUUCGGAUCGUAAAGCUCUGUUGUUAAGGAAGAACGAGUGUGAGAAUGGAAAGUUCAUACUGUGACGGUACUUAACCAGAAAGGGACGGCUAACUACGUGCCAGCAGCCGCGGUAAUACGUAGGUCCCGAGCGUUGUCCGGAUUUAUUGGGCGUAAAGCGAGCGCAGGCGGUUAGAUAAGUCUGAAGUUAAAGGCAGUGGCUCAACCAUUGUAGGCUUUGGAAACUGUUUAACUUGAGUGCAGAAGGGGAGAGUGGAAUUCCAUGUGUAGCGGUGAAAUGCGUAGAUAUAUGGAGGAACACCGGUGGCGAAAGCGGCUCUCUGGUCUGUAACUGACACUGAGGCUCGAAAGCGUGGGGAGCGAACAGG